AUCCCCACCCAUAACCGCAUCCCUCUCCUCUCAUAGAAGAUCUGAAGGGGACAAGGUAGCUUCGGUCCUGGUGCUCCGGUGCGAGGUAGGACGCCUCUACUCCCUCCGUUUCAGGUGCCUGCAUCUCUGACCAGGAGCUAGCCAUCCAUGGCGGCAAUAACAUCGAACUCACGAGUUGAACCCGAGGAAGAUAAUGAUGUCAAAGAAGAUGAUGAUGAAGGGAUCUCUAUUCAUAUGAGAGUUGUUGGAAGGCCGCUAGCAAAAAGCAUCUCAAUCAAGGGACUUAUGAGGUUGUUGUUAAUGUUGUGAUUAGACGGAAUGUUAUGCUUCCUUGUCCCAUUGCUAAGGUAGUGGAGCAAGAUUUCUUAUAUCUGGGUGAGGGCAUCAAUCAAUGUCGAGAGAAGGAAUCUCAUCACUGUAAUAUAUAGCUACCACAUUGAACCAUGUGUCUUUAUCUUGAGCAUAGCUAGACGGAAAAACAUCUUUCCUGAGCUUGCAUGUGAAGGAAGCAAACAAAAGGACUUCAUUCACAUGGAACCAUGAAGCCAACAAUCUAUCUCAACUAUAAGAUUUUAGAUUUCAUUUUGUACAACUCGUCUCUCAUACUUGCAUCUUUGACAAGUUCUUCUAUGAAACUGAUGUAUGGUGUCUUGGUGGUUCUGUUUAGAACAGACUGAAGUGUAUGUAUGUGACAAAUAGUUAAUGGAAUAAAAAAAG
Molecule: long non-coding RNA, 717 nt
Organism: Hordeum vulgare subsp. vulgare (domesticated barley)
Lineage: Eukaryota; Viridiplantae; Streptophyta; Magnoliopsida; Poales; Poaceae
Exons: 4
Source: RefSeq, a predicted model, not a curated record